CAAAGGCACGAGGGUGCUGUGGAGGACCAGGACCCGCCUAUAUAAACUACGGCCGGACAUUUUUCAGUCUCUCUCUGGCUGCUCUCUGUUGGAUGUGAACGUCCAGCUAACCGGAUUUUUGCUCAGAACUGAGGAAACAAGGAUCUACAAUGAGUCCCAGCGCGGAGUUCACUACGCAGAACACCAAGUGCCCAAGGAACUCGAGGAGAUCCACGUUAAAAGAUGGUUGAAUAAAGAUCACACUGCCUAAAGGUGGAUGCUCUGAAAGAUCAUUUGACCCCCUACCUGAGUCCUACCUGAGAUGGGGGGGGGGGGGAGAAGAAGAGUCUGCAGCCAGGAGCACAUGGUUUCUCAAGAUGUUGGAGACUCUCUCUUAGCUCGUCCACACACUGAUGGAAGGAGUUGCUGGGACAUAUCCACAUCUCAACCACAAACCUGGAUGCUGACUCCAAGGCUGGAGUUGUAAUGAGGAUCUACAACGAGUCCCAGCGUGUAGUUCACUACGCCACAUCUGCAACCACACAAACCUGGAUGCUGACUCCAAGGCUGGAGUUAUAAUGAGGGUGUGACUGAAGGACCUGGAUCUGGAGGACGUGCAGACUCAUGAAAAGCCGGGUGGAACAGUUCUACUGGGCUCUGCAGGGGCAUGGAGUCACUUGGGAGUGAAACUCGGACUCUCCUGUCCUCCGUCUUGUUGUACAAGGCUAUUCAUCUAAACUGUUAACUACAUUGACAUGAAUUUGUAUUUGAAGAAUUUUCAAAUAAAUGUUUGACAGAAUGGA
Long non-coding RNA from Trematomus bernacchii (emerald rockcod), 782 nucleotides. RefSeq lists it as uncharacterized. The record is from RefSeq and is a predicted model, not a curated record. The transcript has 7 exons. Lineage: Eukaryota; Metazoa; Chordata; Actinopteri; Perciformes; Nototheniidae.